UACAGAGGGUGCGAGCGUUAAUCGGAAUUACUGGGCGUAAAGGGUGCGUAGGUGGUUAGAGAAGUUGGGCGUGAAAUCCCCGGGCUUAACCUGGGAACUGCGUUCAAUACUGGCUAGCUAGAGUAUGGUAGAGGUAAGUGGAAUUUCAGGUGUAGCGGUGAAAUGCGUUGAUAUCAGGAGGAACACCAAUGGCGAAGGCAGGUUACUGGGCAUUAUCUGACGCUGAGGAGCGAAAGCGUGGGUAGCAAACAGG
This 253-nucleotide ribosomal RNA is filed under the name uncultured bacterium. Its description in RNAcentral is "partial 16S ribosomal RNA". It matches the Rfam family "Bacterial small subunit ribosomal RNA", at positions 524 to 776 of the family's 1533-position model. The record is from RNAcentral.